RNAcentral lists this ribosomal RNA (602 nucleotides) under Lentinus squarrosulus. RNAcentral's name for it is "eukaryotic LSU rRNA". It matches the Rfam family "Eukaryotic large subunit ribosomal RNA", at positions 142 to 731 of the family's 3401-position model. Lineage: Eukaryota; Fungi; Basidiomycota; Agaricomycetes; Polyporales; Polyporaceae. The record is from RNAcentral.
GUUGUAGUCUGGAGAAGUGCUUUCCGCGCUGGACCGUGUAUAAGUCUCUUGGAACAGAGCGUCAUAGAGGGUGAGAAUCCCGUCUUUGACACGGACUACCAGUGCUUUGUGAUGCGCUCUCAAAGAGUCGAGUUGUUUGGGAAUGCAGCUCAAAAUGGGUGGUGAAUUCCAUCUAAAGCUAAAUAUUGGCGAGAGACCGAUAGCGAACAAGUACCGUGAGGGAAAGAUGAAAAGCACUUUGGAAAGAGAGUUAAACAGUACGUGAAAUUGCUGAAAGGGAAACGCUUGAAGUCAGUCGCGUCUGCCGGAACUCAGCCUUCCUUUUGGUUGGUGCACUUUCUGGUAGACGGGCCAGCAUCGAUUUUGACCGUAGGAUAAGGGCUGGAGAAAUGUGGCACCUUCGGGUGUGUUAUAGUCUUCAGUCGCAUACUACGGUUGGGAUCGAGGACCGCAGCGCGCCGCAAGGCAGGGGUUCGCCCACUUUCGCGCUUAGGAUGCUGGCAUAAUGGCUUUAAACGACCCGUCUUGAAACACGGACCAAGGAGUCUAACAAACCUGCGAGUGUUUGGGUGGAAAACCCGAGCGCGUAAUGAAAGUGAAAG